Non-coding RNA from Pelobates cultripes (western spadefoot toad), 236 nucleotides. The record is from the annotation of a GenBank genome assembly. NCBI's taxonomy places the organism in Eukaryota, Metazoa, Chordata, Amphibia, Anura, Pelobatidae.
UAUCAAUUGUACCUAGCUUAAUUAAAUAACCUCUUAUAACACAUUUAUAUGCAUUCCAAACCAUCGGAAGUGACACUUCACCCCCCUCAUUUUCCUGAAAAAAGCUUUCUGUCAUCUCCCCUAUAUAUUCUCUAUUUUCCUUACUGGAGAGAAUAUUAUCAUUUAAUCUCCAAUCAGUUCUUCUUGCCCUAUUAUUCACUAUAUCCAACUCCAAGAUCAUGGCAUUAUGAUCGGAC